Molecule: long non-coding RNA, 323 nt
Organism: Haliotis rufescens (red abalone)
Lineage: Eukaryota; Metazoa; Mollusca; Gastropoda; Lepetellida; Haliotidae
Exons: 3
Source: RefSeq, a predicted model, not a curated record
CGCCAGCUUGCCGGGCAGGGAGGAGCGGAACUCGUCAAUGAAUGCACUCAUCACGCACUCGACCAUUGAGAACUGGAAACACACACGUGAAAUGUGAAACUAUUUCAGGUUUGGAUUAAAAAGGAUGUGAAUCUCACCUGGGAUCCGAAUCCGAGAGUUGCCAUCAUGAGGAAGAAGAAGACGGCCCACAGAGAGGGUGCUAAUUACGACAUAUAGGCCAAGACAGAAAUGGACACAGACAAUGGAUCACAGCCCCUCUUCAAAAUGACUGGGACAGUAUCUACACCCACCUCCAUCGGCGACAUCCGCGACGGAGACACCCU